AUUGAACGCUGGCGGCAGGUCUAACACAUGCAAGUCGAGCGGAUGAAGGGAGCUUGCUCCUGGAUUCAGCGGCGGACGGGUGAGUAAUGCCUAGGAAUCUGCCUGGUAGUGGGGGAUAACGCCCGGAAACGGGCGCUAAUACCGCAUACGUCCUGAGGGAGAAAGUGGGGGAUCUUCGGAUCUCACGCUAUCAGAUGAGCCUAGGUCGGAUUAGCUAGUUGGUGGGGUAAAGGCCUACCAAUGCGACGAUCCGUAACUGGUCUGAGAGGAUGAUCAGUCACACUGGAACUGAGACACGGUCCAGACUCCUACGGGAGGCAGCAGUGGGGAAUAUUGGACAAUGGGCGAAAGCCUGAUCCAGCCAUGCCGCGUGUGUGAAGAAGGUCUUCGGAUUGUAAAGCACUUUAAGUUGGGAGGAAGGGCAGUAAGUUAAUACCUUGCUGUUUUGACGUUACCAACAGAAUAAGCACCGGCUAACUUCGUG
Molecule: ribosomal RNA, 484 nt
Filed under: uncultured bacterium
Lineage: Bacteria
Description: partial 16S ribosomal RNA
Rfam family: Bacterial small subunit ribosomal RNA
Source: RNAcentral